This is a small nucleolar RNA of Astyanax mexicanus (Mexican tetra), 75 nucleotides long. The record is from Ensembl. Lineage: Eukaryota; Metazoa; Chordata; Actinopteri; Characiformes; Acestrorhamphidae.
UUGCAAUGAUGUGUUGAAUUUCUUCACCUGAAAUUCUGUGUGGAUCAAAAUUCGAGCUUUUUAAACCUGAGCAAG